RNAcentral lists this unclassified non-coding RNA (197 nucleotides) under uncultured fungus. RNAcentral's name for it is "sequence contains ITS1". Lineage: Eukaryota; Fungi. The record is from RNAcentral.
UUUAUUUUUUAAUAAAGUCUUAGACAACUUAAAAUAAAGAGUAAAAUGUUCUUCGGCAGGCACACGCCCACCUAAGCCGACGGUUACUAAAAGUAAUCGACCUGCCGAAGCAACAGGAAAGUACACAAAGGGUGAGAUGCAACCUUUGCAGGUUACAAAUUUUUAUAAUGAUCCUUCCGCAGGUUCACCUACGGAAA